UACCUGGUUGAUCCUGCCAGUAGUCAUAUGCUUGUCUCAAAGAUUAAGCCAUGCAAGUCUAAGUACGAGCUCUCGUACAGUGAACCUGCGAAUGGCUCAUUAAAUCAGUUAUGGUUCAUUUGAUCGUACAGUUUACUUGGAUAACUGUGGUAAUUCUAGAGCUAAUACAUGCGAGAAGCGCCGACCUCGCGGGAGGCGUGCAUUUAUCAGACCAAAAACCGGCCGCGUCUUCGGGCGCGUUCGCCUUGGUGACUCUGGAUAACUUUGCGGAUCGCACGGUCUAGCACCGGCGACGGAUCAUUCAAGUGUCUGCCCUAUCAACUUUCGUCGGUACGGUAUUUGCCUACCGAGGUUCUUACGGGUGACGGGGAAUCAGGGUUCGAUUCCGGAGAGGGAGCCUGAGAAACGGCUACCACAUCCAAGGAAGGCAGCAGGCGCGCAAAUUACCCAUUCCCGACGCGGGGAGGUAGUGACGAAAAAUAACAAUGCAGGAACUCGUUCGAGGCCCUGUAAUUGGAAUGAGUACACUUUAAAAGCUUUAACGAGUAUCCAUUGGAGGGCAAGUCUGGUGCCAGCAGCCGCGGUAAUUCCAGCUCCAAAAGUAUAUAUUUAAGUUGUUGCGGUUAAAAAGCUCGUAGUUGGAUUUUGGGCGCAGGCGGCCGGUCCGUCGCAAGGCGUGUACUGGACGUCCUGGCCUUCCCUCCGGUUCUCCGCCGGUGCUCUUGACUGAGUGUCGGCGGCGGCCGGAACGUUUACUUUGAAAAAAUUAGAGUGUUCAAAGCAGGCUCUCGAGCCUGGAUAAUGGUGCAUGGAAUAAUGGAAUAGGACCUCGGUUCUAUUUUGUUGGUUUUCGGAGCGCGAGGUAAUGAUUAAGAGGGACAGACGGGGGCAUUCGUACUGUGCCGUUAGAGGUGAAAUUCUUGGAUCGGCGCAAGACGAACGACUGCGAAAGCAUUUGCCAAGAAUGUUUUCUUUAAUCAAGAGCGAAAGUCAGAGGUUCGAAGACGAUCAGAUACCGUCCUAGUUCUGACUAUAAACGAUGCCAACUAGCGAUCGGGGGGCGUUACAUUGACGACCCCCCCGGCAGCUUACGGGAAACCAA
Non-coding RNA from Ciona savignyi (Pacific transparent sea squirt), 1102 nucleotides. The record is from Rfam. Lineage: Eukaryota; Metazoa; Chordata; Ascidiacea; Phlebobranchia; Cionidae.